RNAcentral lists this long non-coding RNA (1053 nucleotides) under Anser cygnoides (Swan goose). RNAcentral's name for it is "lncRNA (ENSACDG00005010634.1)". Lineage: Eukaryota; Metazoa; Chordata; Aves; Anseriformes; Anatidae. The record is from RNAcentral.
AUGUGUUUUGGGACUGGCAAAGACUGCUGUCUUCUUCCAGAAAUCAGUUUUAAGAUCUGGCAUAAAACAUUCAGUUUACCUAAGCUCAGAUCCCCAGGGGUUUUAAACUUCUGGAUUAUUUGCCUCCUAGAGCUGCUGCCCACAUUUUUAGCUCAGGAAAUUUGUCUUCAUAAGCAGCGAGGUUAAUGUAUUGUUUCCAAUCUUGUUGCCACAGUGGUCAAAGCCUCAGAGUCUGGGAUGGGCUCCUGGUCCCCAUAUCCAUAAUGAAGUACGAGGAACACAGUGUUUCCAUUGCUCAGCAUGGCUACUGACUGCUCUGUGGCCUCUUGUGGCCCUAGCUGUACGACCACCGCAUGUUGGGGAACCAACUACCCUGAAAGUACAGCAGCCAUCUGACCCCGUAGGAGCACCAAGCAAUUGGCCAGAAAUAUGCCCGAUUUGACUAAGUAGACCUCAAGAAUUUCGGGAAGCAGACUUAUUUUUAUCUAUUUAUUUAUUUUCAGGAAUAUCAAGUUGCAGCGUUUCUGAAACAAAAUACUUCAGAAUUUGAUUUUGACGAACACCUUUAAAUUCUUGGCCUUUCUCUCUUUCUCAAGAUAAAAAUAUUUCUGAUAAUGUAAAAUUUAUGAAGAAUGGGAAUGUGGUUUUCUGACCUGCUACAGUCUUUUCUAAAGGGAUAACACAUUAGGUUGUAGAAAUAACAAGUUACUUUAUUGCUUUAUUGCUACCUCUCAACCCACUGCCAGUUGCGGAGGGGAUGAAAAUUCACAUCAGUCUUAAAGAGAAUGAGCAAAUGCAAAUAUAUACUCCUACUGCAAACAGAAGGCCUGAUUCUUUCUCCCUUGCAGCAGUGAGACUGUCCUAGUUCAGGACUUGAAGAUCUUUAUCCUGCAGUCCAGAAACAAGGAAAUCCCUGGUGUGGCGGUUGCAGAAGGAAAACUAAGUGUUAGUUUUUAUUCAUGAAAUCUGUUCUCCCCUUGAAAAAGCUUUGUGCUGUAGAAGCUGUAAGUGGAUUGGAACCAUGAUCUACAACCCUGCCACACAGAUCACUAA